Long non-coding RNA from Sarcophilus harrisii (Tasmanian devil), 785 nucleotides. RefSeq lists it as uncharacterized. The record is from RefSeq and is a predicted model, not a curated record. The transcript is spliced from 3 exons. NCBI's taxonomy places the organism in Eukaryota, Metazoa, Chordata, Mammalia, Dasyuromorphia, Dasyuridae.
GAAUUAGCUAGCUGGGAUUUCUUUAUGUUCCAAACAGAUUGGCACAUGGAGCAAAUUAUCUUCUGUGCAGAAAAGUGGCAUUUCAGCCAAGCCAACUUUUCUGCAAUAAGGACAAGUGUAUACUCUGGCGAAGACUGAUGAUAGAAAACAAAGAGAAGCUCUAUGAUUCCAUGUACAGUGGAUCUACCUUUCACAACAGCAUCAAACAAGAAGUUAGGGGAGAGACCAACAGGUCAGCCUGACCUCCUCCCCAUCACAAGUCAGAUCUCAGGAGAUAAGCGUAAGUAAAAGAAGAAGAGAAACUAUUUCUAUGCCCUGUUCUGACUGACCUCUUCCUUUGUCUUUCAGAAAGGGAGCAUCAGGAUCCUUAAGACCCUCCUGGGGCUUCUCCUCUCUGCAUCUGACCCUUGGAAGGGAUCAAGAAGUCUACAGAUUCUCCUUCUGCUUAAAACCAAGAAUGGCAUGUUCUGCAAAGGCAAAUGUAUUAUCAAUUAUAUAUGUGAAGUCACUUCCCACAACCAAAACAAGGCAACAGCACAGAUCCCCUUUUGAAAGGCAUUGAGUCCAAGAUCUGAGGCCUGGUACAAGGAUUUGGGGAUUUUUAGCCUGAACUAAGAAGAUCCAGGGGAAAGCAACAGCUAUCAUCAAAGACUUGAAGGAAAUUAACAGGGAAUAAGGAUUCGAUUUCCCUGUUUAAUCCCAAAGGACAGAACCAUAACUGAUGUGUGGAAGUUGCUUUGUAAAAAUCAAAGCAACCUUGUCAGAAAGGAAAUAAAGUUUGUCUA